Molecule: long non-coding RNA, 6604 nt
Organism: Antechinus flavipes (yellow-footed antechinus)
Lineage: Eukaryota; Metazoa; Chordata; Mammalia; Dasyuromorphia; Dasyuridae
Exons: 2
Source: RefSeq, a predicted model, not a curated record
UACUAGUUUCAAAAUGAUAUCAACAUUGUCAUUCACAGAAUUAUUCUGAGGAUUUGGAUAAGUGAUCUUUAAAGGAGGUCAGAUCCCUUGGGAAGCCAGAUAAUAUUGAUUUAAAUAGUGGCAAAUAAAUAAUGGAAGAUCUGAGACCUAGCAGGUUAGUGUGGAUGUAUGGAUAAGUAUUGGGAGAGUGGGGUGUGGAUAGACUGGAUUCCACUGACUAGAAAUGAUUCAGGAAUAGCUUUAUUUUAUCCAGGAUAGUGCAAUUGGCCAAAGAACUGUAUUUGUAAUGAAGACUGUAUGAGGGUGAGGCAUCUAUAAGUAAAAACAUGAUUGCAUUAUUUAUGUUAUUACAUCAUUUCCCUGAAGGGAAGAAGAGGAAGGGAAUGUGUUUUCAUUUAUCCAAUACCUGUUGAACUCCUAUGAUAAGAUAUAUGCAGUACUAUGCUGGGUGACUGUGCCUAAGUUUUUGUCUGCUAGAAACUUAUACUUAAAAAAGGGCAGACAACGAGAUAAUAAAAACUAAGUCAAAUGAGAAAUGGUUAAAGAGACCAGGAAAGCUGAUUAUAAAGGACUUGCAAUAAUAAUGAUCAUCACAUAUUUAAUAGCCUGCCAUGUUUAGAACAUAAUUUAAGAUGGCAAAGCUAGGAUUAGUAGCUGAAGUUACUCUGGACCUCAAUGUUUUCACAUUUAAAAUGAAUACAUCAGUCUAAGUGAUUUUUAAGGUCUUUUCCACUCUAGAUUUAUGAUUAUAUAGUCCUGUGUAGAGGGCCGGAACUCUGGAAAAGUAUACUUGAAACAAGGUGUUAAUUGAGUGGAAUUGAUGAAAUGAUUGUUCUCUAGUUCACACAUACAUAGUAUGCUGUAAUGAUGUAAUCAUACCAAGGUAUUUAAGGGCUGAGAAGGACUGGAAAUGGGGCAUUCUAUCUUUGACCAUCCUGGUGGCUCUCCUUCCUUCCUCCACUAAGACCAAGGGACCAAAGGCUGAUCCCAAGAUCCUCCAGAAAGCUAGCCUGGACAUUACAGUCCUUUGUCACAUAUAAAAAUGAGUUUUCUGAACAUUAGACUUGUAUAAAAAUAAAAUGAGCUGUCUUACUGGGUAGUAGUAAGCUAUCACUGGAAUAUCUAAGAAGAGCUUGGAAAAGCAUUUGUGGGGAUAUUGUAGAUGAAGUUCAUAUAGUAUGAAAGGGGUUAUAUUAGGUGACCUAUAAGUUAAUUUCCAAUUCUAGAUUUCUAUGUUAACUAUUUUUUUUUUUUUUUUGGCCAGAUCUGUGAUUUCCUUAGCAUGGGGAAAUCUUCUGGUGAAGAAAUUCCUACUGCCAAUGAAAAUCAACAACAGCUAUAAAACCUAUUGUCUUUAUUUCCCUUUAUUAUCUGAAUUUCUCUGGAUAUGAUUAUAAGGUUCCAGAUGACAGAAUUCGGCCUUAUACAUUAAAGCAACCUCUAGCACAUCUAGCACAGUACUUUUACAUAGAAUACACUUAAUAGAAAUGUGUGCCCUUAAAGAAAUGCUUCUUAAAUUUUUUCCACUCAGAGCUCCUUUUCCCCUGAGAAAUUUUUAUGUGACUCCAAGCACAUAGGUAUAUAAAAAUACAAACAAAUCUUUACUGAAAAUAAAUCAUAAUAUCACAACCACCACAUUCAAUCACGAGAUCCUACAUGAGAUCAUGACCCUCAAUUUAAGAAGCUUUGACUUAGAGAAUCAUGUGGGGUACUGAAAGAUUAAGUGACAUAGCAAGUAGGUGCCAGAAAUAUUCUUGAAUAUUACCUAAGUCUUCUUGACUACAAAACUAACUCUCUGAGAGCCACUAUAACCUGCUGCCUCUUGCUUCCAUAUCAUACAUCAUGGUGAAUUCAUAAAUAGAGCAGUGUCUACUGGUGUGCAUCCCAAAGAGAUCAUUAAAAAAGGGGAAAGAACCCACAUGUGCAAAACUGUUUAUGGAAGCCUUUUUUGUUGUGGCAAGGAACUGAAAAUGGAACAGAUGCCCAUUGGUUGGAGAAUAAUUGAGUAAGUUACAGCAUAUGAAUGUUAUAGAAUAUUAUUGAUCUAUCAGAAAUGAUCAGUCAGAUGAUUUGAAGGCCGGGAGAGACUUAUAUGAAUCGAUGCUGAGUGAAGUGAAUAAAACCAAAAAAACAUAGUACACAUCAACAACAAGAUUAUGUGAUGAUUAACCGUGGUAUACUUGGCUCUUUUCAACAAAGAAGUGAUUCAGGCUAAUUCCAAUAGUCUUGGGAUGGAGAAAGCCAGCGGCAUCCAAAGAGAGGACUCUGGGAAAUGAAUGUGGAUCACAGAAUAGUAUUUUCACCUUUGUUGCUGUUGUUUGCUUGCUUGUUUUUUUUUUUUUUUCUUUUUCAUUCUUUUCCCUUUUUGAUCUGACUUUGCUUGUGCAGCAUGAUAAAUGUGGAAAUUAUGUUUAGAAGAAUUGUGCAUGUGUAAUCUGUAUUGAUUACUUGCUGUCUAAAAGAAGGGGAAAGUAGGAAGGGAGAAUAAUUUGGAACACGAGGUUUUGCAAUAGUAAGUGUUGAAAACUAUCUUUGCCUGUAUUUUGAAAAUGAAAAGCUAUUAUAAAAAAAAAAGUCAAUUAACCUCUCAUGACCCCAGUUUCCUCAUCUGUAAAGUGAUAGGAUGGGACUAGAUGACCUUUCAAGUAUCUCCCAACACUUUGUCUAGGAUCCUAGAACAGUAUAGUAGAAAGAGCACUGGAUUUAUAAUUAGAGGAUUUUGGUUUAUACCUUGACUCCAUGACUUAUACUUAUGUGAGGUUCAAUAAGUCAUUUAGUCAUGCUAGACCUCAUUUUUCCAUUUGUACAGUUAAGUAGUUACACUAGAUUUUCAACUAGAUUGUUGGUCUAAAUAAGACAUUUUUCAGUUUCAAAUUAUAGCUAGUCCCAAGACAUGGAAUUACCCUGACAUUCUUCAAAAAUAAAGUAUAAAAUUUGAAUGAUUAAAUGGCUUGACUCCUAGGGCAAUAAUUAACCAUUUGAUAUCAAUUUAGGAUUAAGUCCCCAAUGACGUCUCAAAGAUCUUUGCUUGGCCCUAUACUGCUGAACUAGUUUUUUUUUUUUUUUUUUUUUUAUCAAUAGUCUUGAAUUAAGGCACAGAUGAGAUGCUUAUUAAAUUUCCUGAUGCAGGGAAGACUUGUUAAUAUACUGAAUGAGUGUAUUAAAAGAUUCUAAAGAUUUUUAUGAGCAGAGAUAUUGGCAAAUCUAACAAGAUGAAAUAUAGUUAAGAUAAAUAUAAAAUCCUACAUUUGCUUUUAAAAAUCAUCUUCAUAAAUAAAUAAUGAGGCAGGCAUCAUUGAAAAGUAAUUAAAUCUAGGAAUUUUAGUGGAUUGAAAAUGCCAUAGGACUCACCAAAGUGAAAUGGCAACCAGGAGAGCUCAUGGGGUCUUAUAUUAAAAGAAAGAGCCAGAACCACAAGGUGAUGCUACCACACUGCUCUUUUCAUUCUCUAUUGGAAUACUAUGUUCAUCUCUGCUUUAUACAUUUUGGGGAAAAGCAUUAUUAUCAGAAUGCAAUUAGAAUAAGAGAAUAAGAAGGGAAGAAAUCCAUACCAGGUAACGAUCAAUUGAAUCAGUGAUAUUUAAUCUGGAGACAAAAGACCUGCUAGGAUAUGGGGAGGUAUAAGAUAUCUUCAAGUCUAUGAAGGGGUAUCAUGUGGAAAUUAGAUUAAUCUAGUUCCAUUUAGCACCAAAAGGCAGAAUCAAUAGAAGGCAAAAUGAGCUUUAGUGUAGGGAAAAUUUCCUUACAAUCAGCGUACCUCAAAAGUAGAAUGGGCUGUCUUAGCAAGUAGUGAUACACUGAACCCUAUAAGCAAUAGUUAGGUGAUCAAUAUGCUUCCAAGAGGCUUUUUGAUGUGUUGGACCAGAUGACUUCUGAGUUCCCUUUCAACUCUAUGAUUCUGAUUUCCAGUCUACCAAAUUUCUCUUUAGCAAUAAACAUUUUUGAAUUGUAGAUUGUUGUGGUUGUUCAGUUGUUUCAGUUUGUCUCGACUCUUUGUAGCUUCAUCUUGGCAAAGACAUUAUAGUGUUUUCCUAUUUUAUUCUCUAGCUCAUUUUAUAGAUAUGAAAAUUGAGGUAAACAAGGUUAAGGAACUUGGCCAGGAUCAUGUGGCUAAGUGUCUGAGGUUGGAUUUGAACUCAGAAAGAUGAGACUUCCUCACUCCAGGACAUAGCAACAUGUAACUUCCAUAGAAUAGUCACUUUUAAUCUGUAUAUAAAUUCUUAUAUGAGGGUUCUAAAAGAUUAUGCUUAGAAAAAUGUUAAGGCUGAUAAAUAGUGGAAAAUUCAACCAACGAUCACUUAUUAAGACCUAUUGUAUGCCAAGAACUGUGCUAAGUUCUGGGGACACAAAGAAAAGCAAAAGCCCUGCUCUCAAGGAUCCAAUGGUUAUAGUAAUGAACAUGUCAUGGAUAGCAAUAAUAACUGACAUUUAAAGCAGGGGUCCUCAAACUACGGCCUGUGAACCAGAUGCGGCAGCUGAGGAUGAUUAUCCCCCUCACGCAGGGCUAUGAAGUUUCUUUAUUUAAAGGCCCACAAGACAAAGUUUUUGUUUUUACUAUAGUCUGGCCCUCCAACAGUCUGAAGGACAGUGAACUGGCCCCUUAUUUAAAAAAUUUGAGGACCCCUGAUUUAUGAUGUAUAUAUAUGUAUAUAUAUAUACAUUUAUAUACCCAAGACUAAUAACAUUCUGAUAGAUUUUGUUAUCCCCAUUUUACAAGUAAAGAAUAAAGUGGAUAUACAGUAUAACUAGGUAGCACAAUGAAAAACGCCCUAAGGUUGAAAGUAGAAAGAUUCUUUUUCAAGAAUUCAUACCCAGUCUUCAAUUUUCAAUUAGCUACGUAACCCUGGACAUUUAACCCUGUUUGCCUUGGUUCCUCAUCUAUAAGAUGAACUAGAGAAUGAAAUAGCAACCCACUUUAGUAUUUCUGCCAAGAAAACCCCAAAUUGGAUCAUGAAGAGUUGGCUAUGACUGAAAAAUGACUUAGAAAUAACAAAAACCUCAAUCAUCUCCAGUUGAAACAUUAAGAGAUCUAUGUUUCUUAUUGGUUGGGAAGAGCUACAAACAUGACUCCCUUAUUUGUUGGCAAACAUGACUCUCCUAUUUGUUGGCUAAUAGAAUUAAUGAAUCAAUUCACAAAUAUUUAUUAAGCACCUAUUAUAUGCCAGGCACUGUUCUAGGUCCUAAGGAAUAUGAAAGCAAAAAUUAAAACAGCCUCUGCCUUCAAAGAUUAUAGGAUCACAACUAUAGAGCUGGAAAGUCCCUAAGAGGCUGGGUUAAACAAACCCCUUAUGCUGUGGCAGAGGGGCUAUGUGGUAUCCUAAGUGUUUUAUGACUUGGGGAAUAAAAUAGAAAAAACCAGAGAAGUUUAAUUUAUUAUUACAUCAACAGGAGCAUAUAUCCUGUUAAAAAGGAGAUAUAGAGGGGAUGAGUGAUUAGAACUGUUUGUCAAACUAUACACUUAAUGUGGAGGCAUCAUGGAGAGUAUUUGGCUAAGGACCAAGGAAAGGAGAAGGUUUAAUAUACUAUCACACUGAAGAAAAUCUUGACAGAUUGAAAUGAAGGCUCAAAACAAGAAGAUGAACUUUAACAGAGAUAAAUAUAAAGUCCUGCACUUAUAUUCCCAAAUCAAUUGCACAAAAAAUAGGAAAGCUCUACUUUGACAGCCGCUUAUGUGAACAAGGUCUUGGAGAUUUUAGCUGACUUCAAGCUUGAUAUGAGUUUGUACCAAUAUGACCUGCUUGCUAAAAAAGACAGUUAACACAUCUAAGUAUUGUGCCCAAGUCUGAGAACAGAAGACUCAUAUUCAUUCCAUGCAGGUCUGAUUCUACAUGGAGUACAUUUCCCAUUUUGAGCAGCAAUUUUUAAAAAUGUCAUUAACAUCUUUUGUUUGACAGUGCCUGCAUUUAACAAAUCCCUCUCUGCUACACUCCCCCCUCCCCCGCCCCCGCAUAGAGCCAUUUUAAAAGAAUUUUUAAAAGAAAACUUUAGAAAAAUUGACCAAAAAACAGAAAAAAUAGUAUUAUUAAGACAGGGCAAGUUGAGUAGUGUACAUUAAGAGGAAUAUUGAUAAACUAGAAGUGUGAAGACAGAGGCUGUGAUUGUUUUUUUUAAAGAUAUUAUGAAUGGGCUUCCUGCAUUGGGUUAGAGAUUGGGUUAGGAGACUAUAAGGUCCUUUAUAAUUCUAAGAGUAUAUGAUCAUACAAUCUCACAUUUUCUAACUAUUAGUAAUAAAUGCUCCCAAAAAAAAAAAAAAGGCAGGGAUACCGAGAUGAGUUGAUUUCUAUUCUAUGUCUCAUCAGCUCUCUAAAAGGGACCAGUGACAAAUCAUCUGACCAGUGUAUUCUGCUGAGUCAGUAUUCAGGGGGAUGGGCUGGUUAGGUGGGAGGGCAGUCAGGCAAGAAGAACUUUUCUAAUCAGAAUUGAAGGAAAUGUUCAAAUACACUGGCUGCCUUAGAGGCUUGAUCAAAUUUAGGGCUCUAGAUAUUGUGUCACAUGGGUCCACAAAGGCAUAGCCCUAUGAUAUCAGAGCCAACUGUUUUCCAGAAACCUUCCAUUGCCCCAAAUAGCACUGACAUCUGGAGUGGGAAAAAAAAAAAAACUAAAA